UAACCUACGGGGCGCAGCAGUAGGGAAUUUUCGUCAAUGGGCGCAAGCCUGAACGAGCAAUGCCGCGUGAACGAGGAAGGUCUUCGGAUCGUAAAGUUCUGUUGAAGGGGAAAAAGAGCGGAGAGAGGAAAUGGUCUCCGAUUGAUAUUACCCUUCGAGGAAGUCACGGCUAACUACGUGCCAGCAGCCGCGGUAAUACGUAGGUGGCGAGCGUUGUCCGGAUUUACUGGGUGUAAAGGGCGUGCAGCCGGGCCGACAAGUCAGAUGUGAAAUCCGCGGGCUUAACCUGCGAACUGCAUUUGAAA
This 305-nucleotide ribosomal RNA is filed under the name uncultured bacterium. RNAcentral's name for it is "bacterial SSU rRNA". It matches the Rfam family "Bacterial small subunit ribosomal RNA", at positions 335 to 632 of the family's 1533-position model. The record is from RNAcentral.